AUGCUUGCUUCAGCAGCACAUAUAAUAAAAUUGGAAUCAUACAGAGAAGAUUAGUACGGCCUCUGCACAAGGAUGACAUGCAAAUUCACAAAGCAUUGCAUAUUUUU
Molecule: small nuclear RNA, 107 nt
Filed under: Dasypus novemcinctus (nine-banded armadillo)
Lineage: Eukaryota; Metazoa; Chordata; Mammalia; Cingulata; Dasypodidae
Source: RNAcentral